GAGCGCCGUAGCAAUACGGAGCGGCAGACGGGAGAGUAACACGUGGGAACGUACCCUUUGGUUCGGAACAACCCAGGGAAACUUGGGCUAAUACCGGAUACGUCCGUAAGGAGAAAGAUUUAUCGCUGAAGGAUCGGCCCGCGUCUGAUUAGCUAGUUGGUGGGGUAACGGCCCACCAAGGCGACGAUCAGUAGCUGGUCUGAGAGGAUGAUCAGCCUCACUGGGACUGAGACACGGCCCAGACUCCUACGGGAGGCAGCAGUGGGGAAUAUUGGACAAUGGGCGCAAGCCUGAUCCAGCCAUGCCGCGUGGGUGAUGAAGGCCCUAGGGUUGUAAAGCCCUUUCGGCGGGGAAGAUAAUGACGGUACCCGCAGAAGAAGCCCCGGCUAACUUCGUG
RNAcentral lists this ribosomal RNA (397 nucleotides) under uncultured bacterium. RNAcentral's name for it is "bacterial SSU rRNA". It matches the Rfam family "Bacterial small subunit ribosomal RNA", at positions 64 to 507 of the family's 1533-position model. The record is from RNAcentral.